Molecule: non-coding RNA, 73 nt
Organism: Octopus bimaculoides (California two-spot octopus)
Lineage: Eukaryota; Metazoa; Mollusca; Cephalopoda; Octopoda; Octopodidae
Source: Rfam
GGCAGUUUAGCUUAAAGGUAAAGCACAAUGACUGGUAAUCACAGAGAUGUGAGUUCAAGUCUCAUGGUUGGCU